This 339-nucleotide ribosomal RNA is filed under the name Aleiodes sp. BIOUG02323-A09. RNAcentral's name for it is "partial 28S ribosomal RNA". The record is from RNAcentral. Lineage: Eukaryota; Metazoa; Arthropoda; Insecta; Hymenoptera; Braconidae.
AAAGUUGAAAAGAACUUUGAAGAGAGAGUUCAAGAGUACGUGAAACCGUUCAGGGGUAAACCUGAGAAACCCAAAAGAUCGAAUGGGGAGAUUCAUCGUCAGCUCAUUUUGUAUAUAUAUAAGUUAUGAUGCGGGUUACUACUUGUAGUAUUGCUUGCACAUUCUUGUAUAUUUAGUUGCAAGAUGUUGUCGGCGUGCACUUCUCCCCUAGUAGAACGUCGCGACCUGUUGGGUGUCGGUCUACGGCCCAAGUGAUAGACUUUAAUGUAAUUUAAAAAGCAUUAAAGAUCCUUGGUGUUUUCUGACCGACUACUUGGCAGUAUUCGUACGGUAUUUAGC